Molecule: ribosomal RNA, 481 nt
Filed under: uncultured bacterium
Lineage: Bacteria
Description: bacterial SSU rRNA
Rfam family: Bacterial small subunit ribosomal RNA
Source: RNAcentral
AGGACGAGCGCUGGCGGCGUGCCUAACACAUGCAAGUCGAGCGGGGACAUGGAGUAGCAAUACGAAAUGUUCUAGCGGCGGACGGGUGAGUAACGCGUGAGCAACCUGUCCCAGUCAGGGGGAUAACGAGCCGAAAGGCUCCCUAAUACCGCAUGAGACCACAGCAUCACAUGGUGCAGGGGUCAAAGGAGAGAUCCGGACUGGGGUGGGCUCGCGUCUGAUUAGCUAGUUGGUGAGGUAAAGGCCCACCAAGGCGACGAUCAGUAGCCGACCUGAGAGGGUGAUCGGCCACAUUGGAACUGAGACACGGUCCAAACUCCUACGGGAGGCAGCAGUGGGGAAUAUUGGGCAAUGGGGGAAACCCUGACCCAGCAACGCCGCGUGAAGGAAGAAGGUCUUCGGAUCGUAAACUUCUAUCCUUGGUGAAGAUAAUGACGGUAGCCGAGAAGGAAGCCCCGGCUAACUACGUGCCAGCCGCUGC